CCAAACCUUGAACAUUCAUGUCGUCUCUGGGAAGUGGCUUUUUGAUUCAGCACUGGUACUUUCCAGUGUCAGCACUUGUAUGUGUCAGUAGCUAAGUCUCUCGUCCAAGGGCCCCAGGUUCUCAGCCUCUGCUUCAUCUCAGGAAAGCCCUCUGGCAGUUGAAGAGAAUGGGGAAACCAUGAGACCAAAAUUUAAAAGCCAGAGCUUCCUGACUCCAAAAUCCUCUUUCUUUCCUGUUAUCCUGCUGAAGUGCCGAUUUCAAAUGAAGACUGACUUGAUCCUGAACAUAACCUACAAGAAGAAAGGGACCACAGGCUAUACACAAAGCAUGGUGCCGGCAUCUGCUUCUGGUGAGGGCCUCAGGAAGCUUACAAUCAUCUUGGAAGGUGAAGAGGAAGCCAGCGCAUCACAUGGCAAGAGAGGGAGCAAGAGAGAAGGGGACAGUGCCGCACACUUUAAAAAAAAACCUUAUCUCACGAGGCAGAACUAACUGAGUGAGAGUUCACUCAUCACCAAGGGAAUGGUGCUGAGUCAUUCAUGAGGGAUCCCCCUGCCGCCCCCGUGAUCCAAUCACCUCCCACCAGACCCCACCUCCAACACUGGGGAUUACAUUUCAACAUGAGACUUGGGGGGGACAAACAUCCAAACCAUGUCAGUCUUCAACCCCUCUUCCUGACAUACAACUCCUAAAACUCUUAGAAUCUCCAAAGUGCUGUCUUUUUAUGUGUUAGUAAUUGGCUAGUGGCUCACAGCCCCUUGGUAGCUUCAGGAUGGGGCCUGGUCACUGGAAAGACCAAGUCAUAAUUAGAGGGUUGAGACUUUCAGCCCACCCCCAACAUCUGGGGAGAAGAGAAGGGCCGAAGCUCAAAUUGAUCACCAAUGGCCAGUGUUUUAAUUAAUCAUGUGGCCAGGCGUGGUGGCUCACGCCUGUAAUCCUAGCACUUUGGGAGGCUGAGGCAGGUGGAUCACGAGGUCAGGAGAUGGAGACCAUCCUGGCUAACACGGUGAAACUCCAUCUCUACUAAAAAUACAAAAAAUUAGCUGGAUGCGGUGGCAUGCGCCUGUAGUCCCAGCUACUCAGGAGGCUGAAGCAGGAGAAUCACUUGAACCCGGGAGGCAGAGGUUACAGUGAGCCGAGAUUACACCACUGCACUCCAGCCUGGGUGACAGAGCCAGACUCCAUCUCAAAAAAACAACAACAAAAAAAGACAAAUAAAAUAAAUAAAAAUAAUGAAUCAUGCCUAUGUAAUGAAGCCUCCAUAAAAACACAAAAGAAUAGGGUUCAGGGAGCCUCUGGAUAGCUGAAUAUCUGGAGGCUCCUAGAGAGUGGCAUGUCCAGAGGGCAUGGAAGCUCUGUGCCCCUUUUUCACCCUAUACACCUCAUCAUCUGUAUGCUUGGUAA
RNAcentral lists this long non-coding RNA (1402 nucleotides) under Homo sapiens (human). Its description in RNAcentral is "HSALNT0294661". Lineage: Eukaryota; Metazoa; Chordata; Mammalia; Primates; Hominidae. The record is from RNAcentral.